This 568-nucleotide ribosomal RNA is filed under the name uncultured bacterium. Its description in RNAcentral is "partial 16S ribosomal RNA". It matches the Rfam family "Bacterial small subunit ribosomal RNA", at positions 355 to 913 of the family's 1533-position model. The record is from RNAcentral.
UGGGGAAUAUUGCACAAUGGGCGCAAGCCUGAUGCAGCCAUGCCGCGUGUGUGAAGAAGGCCUUCGGGUUGUAAAGCACUUUCAGCGAGGAGGAAGGUGGUGAGCUUAAUACGCUCAUCAAUUGACGUUACUCGCAGAAGAAGCACCGGCUAACUCCGUGCCAGCAGCCGCGGUAAUACGGAGGGUGCAAGCGUUAAUCGGAAUUACUGGGCGUAAAGCGCACGCAGGCGGUUUGUUAAGUCAGAUGUGAAAUCCCCGGGCUCAACCUGGGAACUGCAUUUGAAACUGGCAAGCUAGAGUCUCGUAGAGGGGGGUAGAAUUCCAGGUGUAGCGGUGAAAUGCGUAGAGAUCUGGAGGAAUACCGGUGGCGAAGGCGGCCCCCUGGACGAAGACUGACGCUCAGGUGCGAAAGCGUGGGGCAGCAAACAGGAUUAGAUACCCUGGUAGUCCACGCUGUAAACGAUGUCGAUUUUGGAGGUUGUGCCCUUGAGGCGUGGNUUCCGGAGCUAACGCGUUAAAUCGACCGCCUGGGGAGUACGGCCGCAAGGUUAAAACUCAAAGGAAUUGC